RNAcentral lists this ribosomal RNA (252 nucleotides) under uncultured bacterium. RNAcentral's name for it is "partial 16S ribosomal RNA". It matches the Rfam family "Bacterial small subunit ribosomal RNA", at positions 524 to 775 of the family's 1533-position model. The record is from RNAcentral.
GACGAACCGUGCGAACGUUGUUCGGAAUCACUGGGCUUAAAGGGCGCGUAGGCGGGCCAUCAAGUCCGGGGUGAAAGCCCCCAGCUUAACUGGGGAAGUGCCUUGGAAACUGGUGGUCUCGAGGGAGGUAGGGGUCUGUGGAACUUCGGGUGGAGCGGUGAAAUGCGUUGAUAUCCGAAGGAACGCCGGUGGCGAAAGCGACGGACUGGAUCUCUUCUGACGCUGAGGCGCGAAAGCCAGGGGAGCAAACGG